AUUGAACGCUGGCGGCAUGCUUUACACAUGCAAGUCGAACGGCAGCGCGGGCUUCGGCCUGGCGGCGAGUGGCGAACGGGUGAGUAAUACAUCUGAACGUGCCCAGUAGUGGGGGAUAGCUCGGCGAAAGCCGGAUUAAUACCGCAUACGACCUGAGGGUGAAAGCGGGGGAUCUUCGGACCUCGCGCUCUUGGAGCGGCCGAUGGCCGAUUAGCUAGUUGGUGGGGUAAAGGCCUACCAAGGCGACGAUCUGUAGCUGGUCUGAGAGGACGGCCAGCCACACUGGGACUGAGACACGGCCCAGACUCCUACGGGAGGCAGCAGUGGGGAAUUUUGGACAAUGGGCGAAAGCCUGAUCCAGCAAUGCCGCGUGUGUGAUGAAGGCCUUCGGGUUGUAAAGCACCUUUGGCGGGAACGAAAAGGACUGUGCCAAUACCACGGUUCGAUGACGGUACCCGCAGAAUAAGCACCGGCUAACUACGUG
Molecule: ribosomal RNA, 484 nt
Filed under: uncultured bacterium
Lineage: Bacteria
Description: partial 16S ribosomal RNA
Rfam family: Bacterial small subunit ribosomal RNA
Source: RNAcentral